UUUAACUUUAAAGUUAUCCAAACAAAUGACUCAAAACCGAUUGUUAAUUAGUGCAGAGUUAAGACGCGAGUUUCAAAGGUGGCGAUAGUGCGGAGUUUGUGCAGGACAUAUCGUGCCGGCCUGGAAGAUGUUCCUGUAGGAGUGGAGGAUACUUUUGCGCCUAGCUGUCGAAGAAGAUGCAGACUUUUGUGAAGACGUCGGACUCUUCUUAGAGAAAAUAGGAGAUCAAGGACUAGUGGAUUCUUCUUCCUUCAAUACAACAGCCGAAAAGCCAGCGGGUUGUUUUCACAGUUCGUGGUCAGAACUGCUCUAUGUGUGGUGAAGAAAGAAACAAAAGUGGAUUAAAACCUGUCAACACUUGGCGAUGAAAAGUGGAUCAUCAUACAUCUAAUUAGUGAUUAGGGCUUGGAGAUGUGUGUGGUAUAAUGAAGUCAUAGAAGACAAACCUUUACUUAGGAACAGAAAACAUCAUGUAAACUCAUCAACGCGUUUUUAUGGAGGGAAAUAGCAACUUCAAUUUAUUUCUUCAGUAAUAUGAACACGGCAAUUUAUAGAUUAUCCAAGAAAAGAGAGAGACUUAAAGUCAGCUUGGUCAUACUGAAACCAGCAAUGUCUAGAUGGGUUUCAUCUUUCCUGGAGUAUAUACUUGAUUUGCUGCUUUGUCUUCACCUUGAACCAUUAUGCAGUCAAUUUUCAACCUACGAAUGAGAGCAACUGGAGGUUUCUUUGACUUCUUUUGAAACAACAAAUUUUCUGCUAUGGUAUUCCUCCUGGAUUUGGUUUGCUUUUCACACAUGCAAACUUUGGAAUGUUA
Molecule: long non-coding RNA, 814 nt
Organism: Agrilus planipennis (emerald ash borer)
Lineage: Eukaryota; Metazoa; Arthropoda; Insecta; Coleoptera; Buprestidae
Exons: 7
Source: RefSeq, a predicted model, not a curated record